RNAcentral lists this long non-coding RNA (123 nucleotides) under Sus scrofa (pig). RNAcentral describes it as "lncRNA (ENSSSCG00070014353.1)". Lineage: Eukaryota; Metazoa; Chordata; Mammalia; Artiodactyla; Suidae. The record is from RNAcentral.
GACUUUUCUGUUUGAGGAAACAUUCCACUGGAUGUGCUUGAUACUCUGACUGCACAGUGACACCACCUGGGGAGACUCCACAGGAGCGUCACAUGGCUCAGACAUGAUUUAGAAAGAACAGCG